Molecule: ribosomal RNA, 2922 nt
Filed under: Staphylococcus aureus
Lineage: Bacteria; Bacillati; Bacillota; Bacilli; Caryophanales; Staphylococcaceae
Description: 23S ribosomal RNA
Rfam family: Bacterial large subunit ribosomal RNA
Source: RNAcentral
GAUUAAGUUAUUAAGGGCGCACGGUGGAUGCCUUGGCACUAGAAGCCGAUGAAGGACGUUACUAACGACGAUAUGCUUUGGGGAGCUGUAAGUAAGCUUUGAUCCAGAGAUUUCCGAAUGGGGAAACCCAGCAUGAGUUAUGUCAUGUUAUCGAUAUGUGAAUACAUAGCAUAUCAGAAGGCACACCCGGAGAACUGAAACAUCUUAGUACCCGGAGGAAGAGAAAGAAAAUUCGAUUCCCUUAGUAGCGGCGAGCGAAACGGGAAGAGCCCAAACCAACAAGCUUGCUUGUUGGGGUUGUAGGACACUCUAUACGGAGUUACAAAGGACGACAUUAGACGAAUCAUCUGGAAAGAUGAAUCAAAGAAGGUAAUAAUCCUGUAGUCGAAAAUGUUGUCUCUCUUGAGUGGAUCCUGAGUACGACGGAGCACGUGAAAUUCCGUCGGAAUCUGGGAGGACCAUCUCCUAAGGCUAAAUACUCUCUAGUGACCGAUAGUGAACCAGUACCGUGAGGGAAAGGUGAAAAGCACCCCGGAAGGGGAGUGAAAUAGAACCUGAAACCGUGUGCUUACAAGUAGUCAGAGCCCGUUAAUGGGUGAUGGCGUGCCUUUUGUAGAAUGAACCGGCGAGUUACGAUUUGAUGCAAGGUUAAGCAGUAAAUGUGGAGCCGUAGCGAAAGCGAGUCUGAAUAGGGCGUUUAGUAUUUGGUCGUAGACCCGAAACCAGGUGAUCUACCCUUGGUCAGGUUGAAGUUCAGGUAACACUGAAUGGAGGACCGAACCGACUUACGUUGAAAAGUGAGCGGAUGAACUGAGGGUAGCGGAGAAAUUCCAAUCGAACCUGGAGAUAGCUGGUUCUCUCCGAAAUAGCUUUAGGGCUAGCCUCAAGUGAUGAUUAUUGGAGGUAGAGCACUGUUUGGACGAGGGGCCCCUCUCGGGUUACCGAAUUCAGACAAACUCCGAAUGCCAAUUAAUUUAACUUGGGAGUCAGAACAUGGGUGAUAAGGUCCGUGUUCGAAAGGGAAACAGCCCAGACCACCAGCUAAGGUCCCAAAAUAUAUGUUAAGUGGAAAGGAUGUGGCGUUGCCCAGACAACUAGGAUGUUGGCUUAGAAGCAGCCAUCAUUUAAAGAGUGCGUAAUAGCUCACUAGUCGAGUGACACUGCGCCGAAAAUGUACCGGGGCUAAACAUAUUACCGAAGCUGUGGAUUGUCCUUUGGACAAUGGUAGGAGAGCGUUCUAAGGGCGUUGAAGCAUGAUCGUAAGGACAUGUGGAGCGCUUAGAAGUGAGAAUGCCGGUGUGAGUAGCGAAAGACGGGUGAGAAUCCCGUCCACCGAUUGACUAAGGUUUCCAGAGGAAGGCUCGUCCGCUCUGGGUUAGUCGGGUCCUAAGCUGAGGCCGACAGGCGUAGGCGAUGGAUAACAGGUUGAUAUUCCUGUACCACCUAUAAUCGUUUUAAUCGAUGGGGGGACGCAGUAGGAUAGGCGAAGCGUGCGAUUGGAUUGCACGUCUAAGCAGUAAGGCUGAGUAUUAGGCAAAUCCGGUACUCGUUAAGGCUGAGCUGUGAUGGGGAGAAGACAUUGUGUCUUCGAGUCGUUGAUUUCACACUGCCGAGAAAAGCCUCUAGAUAGAAAAUAGGUGCCCGUACCGCAAACCGACACAGGUAGUCAAGAUGAGAAUUCUAAGGUGAGCGAGCGAACUCUCGUUAAGGAACUCGGCAAAAUGACCCCGUAACUUCGGGAGAAGGGGUGCUCUUUAGGGUUAACGCCCAGAAGAGCCGCAGUGAAUAGGCCCAAGCGACUGUUUAUCAAAAACACAGGUCUCUGCUAAACCGUAAGGUGAUGUAUAGGGGCUGACGCCUGCCCGGUGCUGGAAGGUUAAGAGGAGUGGUUAGCUUCUGCGAAGCUACGAAUCGAAGCCCCAGUAAACGGCGGCCGUAACUAUAACGGUCCUAAGGUAGCGAAAUUCCUUGUCGGGUAAGUUCCGACCCGCACGAAAGGCGUAACGAUUUGGGCACUGUCUCAACGAGAGACUCGGUGAAAUCAUAGUACCUGUGAAGAUGCAGGUUACCCGCGACAGGACGGAAAGACCCCGUGGAGCUUUACUGUAGCCUGAUAUUGAAAUUCGGCACAGCUUGUACAGGAUAGGUAGGAGCCUUUGAAACGUGAGCGCUAGCUUACGUGGAGGCGCUGGUGGGAUACUACCCUAGCUGUGUUGGCUUUCUAACCCGCACCACUUAUCGUGGUGGGAGACAGUGUCAGGCGGGCAGUUUGACUGGGGCGGUCGCCUCCUAAAAGGUAACGGAGGCGCUCAAAGGUUCCCUCAGAAUGGUUGGAAAUCAUUCAUAGAGUGUAAAGGCAUAAGGGAGCUUGACUGCGAGACCUACAAGUCGAGCAGGGUCGAAAGACGGACUUAGUGAUCCGGUGGUUCCGCAUGGAAGGGCCAUCGCUCAACGGAUAAAAGCUACCCCGGGGAUAACAGGCUUAUCUCCCCCAAGAGUUCACAUCGACGGGGAGGUUUGGCACCUCGAUGUCGGCUCAUCGCAUCCUGGGGCUGUAGUCGGUCCCAAGGGUUGGGCUGUUCGCCCAUUAAAGCGGUACGCGAGCUGGGUUCAGAACGUCGUGAGACAGUUCGGUCCCUAUCCGUCGUGGGCGUAGGAAAUUUGAGAGGAGCUGUCCUUAGUACGAGAGGACCGGGAUGGACAUACCUCUGGUGUACCAGUUGUCGUGCCAACGGCAUAGCUGGGUAGCUAUGUGUGGACGGGAUAAGUGCUGAAAGCAUCUAAGCAUGAAGCCCCCCUCAAGAUGAGAUUUCCCAACUUCGGUUAUAAGAUCCCUCAAAGAUGAUGAGGUUAAUAGGUUCGAGGUGGAAGCAUGGUGACAUGUGGAGCUGACGAAUACUAAUCGAUCGAAGACUUAAUCAA